This is a microRNA precursor of Oryza sativa Japonica Group (Japanese rice), 208 nucleotides long. It matches the Rfam family "MIR812 microRNA precursor family". The record is from Rfam. NCBI's taxonomy places the organism in Eukaryota, Viridiplantae, Streptophyta, Magnoliopsida, Poales, Poaceae.
AAUAAGUGCAGUUUUGCACUAUUCAUCUCCAACGUUUGACCGUUCGUUUUAUUUGAAAUUUUUUUAUAAUUAUUAUUUUUAUUGUUAUUAGAUGAUAAAAUAUGAAUAGUACUUUAUGUGUGGCUAAUUUUUUUAAAAAAAAUUAUAAAUUUUUCAAAUAAGACGGACGGUCAAACGUUGGACACGUAUUUCCACGGCUGCAGUUAUU